Molecule: non-coding RNA, 1447 nt
Organism: Lolium perenne
Lineage: Eukaryota; Viridiplantae; Streptophyta; Magnoliopsida; Poales; Poaceae
Source: RefSeq, a predicted model, not a curated record
UGAGCAUGGCCAAGCUAGACACCAGAAGAGUAUUGCAUACUCAGCUACUCCAAUCGUUUGGGUCUUUGGGGAUGGUGGACUCGAUUGCUGAAUCAAUGGUGCCAUGUCAUGCCCCCUAUAUUACCUUUGCCCAAAUCAAAGUGCAUAUAUUUCCACGAGUUAUAGGGGGCAUGGCUGGGACGGUGAUGGAGGAGCAGUGACGAGCCAAAUGGCCAUGGCGCCGCUCGCUGGAGCACAUCAACAUCUCGUCGCUCGUCAAUAUUACUUAUCCAUGUGAUGACAUGCCCUCGCUCGCUAAUCUGGAGCUUCAACCAUCUCAUGGAGGACGCCGUCUGGUAGAUGUCCUGCGAAGCCCGCUAUGCCACCUCCAGCACUAGGAGAUGAGGCGGCCCAGAGGUCCGGCCUCCUCAUAUCCCUCGUCACCAUCUGCGCACUCGUGGCGGCGCACAUCGCCCACCAGAAGGACUGCAGGCCCGUCGACUUUGUGCGUGGCGUCAUCCUCGUCAAACACAAUGCCCGCAACCUGCUACUGUCGCCGAGAGAGUGUAUGUUUCAUAGUGGUGUGAAAGGGUUGAGCAACGAAUGAGGUUUUUUUAGUCCUAGGAAUUUGAGAAGAUUUGUCCAAAUUGGUGAUGAAAUCCAAGCUGCUCGAUUUCUUCUCGGACAUGGAUGAGCCCCUCAGGUAUGACAGAUCUCUCAGAGGAUCUCUGCCAGCAUGAAAAGUUCAUGUUCCAGUGAGGAGGCUCACCAUCACCUACGUCAUGUUACUUAGGAAUUAUAUACUGAGUUUGAUUGUGUUUCAAGAUAUUGAGUGUCCGUAAGAAUUUGAAACAGGCUACAGAUCAAUUUACUUUGGCCUGUUCAAGGGAACACGUUUAGGAUGUGGCAAGUAACUUAGUUUCUACACUUGUAUGGCGACGAGAGAUUCAUGUAUGGUUUUUCUCAUCAAAUAUCAAGCAGGGCACUGCAAAGAGAACAGAAACCCAUCUCCACGGCAUGAAGACUGGUGUGUUGGGAAAUGCUCCAUGUUGAAAUUGAAACUUUUCAUUCCCGGUUCCUGAUACACCCACUUAGGAGCUGAGCUUGGAGUGAUGCGAUGUCUUUCUGCUGUUGAUUAUUUUCAAGGUGUUCAUUUUGCCUCACAGCUGGCUGCGCAGUUUAUAUGCAAAUACCUAUGGGAGCCAACAGCUUGAGAGCGUUGCUGACUCAGCUACUGGGCAUGUGGUUAAUGGAAUUGUAGUUGUUCUGUACAAAAAUUCUGUAAAAAAGCGGGAAAUUAACUAUAACCAAUAUGUGAUUUGUUUCAUUCUUGAAGUUGUAUUUGGGCUAUGUAUCAUUUAGUGUUCAAUGGUUUCAUAUCCAACUUGCGGUAAUGUGUUAGUGCAGAUGGUCACCACACAUCUGGAUGCUAACAAGGUGUUUGGUUUAUGAUUUUGUAACCUGAUUA